Molecule: unclassified non-coding RNA, 753 nt
Filed under: Hevea brasiliensis (rubber tree)
Lineage: Eukaryota; Viridiplantae; Streptophyta; Magnoliopsida; Malpighiales; Euphorbiaceae
Source: RNAcentral
AUGCUAUUAAGACAUUUAAUGGGAAAACAAUGAAUAAACGAACUAUUGCGGUUGAUUGGGCCGUUUCCAAAAAGGUUUAUGCAUCUGGUGGUCAAUCUUCUGCAACUGCAAUAGAUGAACAGAGCGCAAAAGAUGAUAGUGGUAGUGAUACGGAGGAUGAAGACAUUGACAUUGAUGGAAAAUCUCAGCAAGCUGAAGGGGACGAAGAUGACUCUGACCUUUUAGAAGAAGAUAAUCAGACCGAAUUUAACUUUGAUGAGGAAGCAGACAUUGCAAAAAAAAUUCUUCAGAACUUUAUUUCUCCAACUUCAAUAGUGACAGCUACUCCCGCAGAUGAUAUUUCAAGCCCCCAAAAGAAGGGAAAGGAUGUUGAAACUAUUAUCCCCCUGGAUGAACCACUUGAUGCAUCUACUCCGAAUAAAGCACUAAAUGAUGUUUCGGGCAAGGACAAAGAAGUUAAAGAUAUGCAGAGUGACGGAGCAGAUGAUCUGCAGGGGACAGUUUUCAUUAGCAACCUUCCUUUUGAUGUUGAUUAUGGAGAAGUCAAACAACGGUUUUCAGCUUUUGGUGAAGUGGAGUACUUUGCUCCAGUUCUUGAACAAGUCACCAAACGACCAAGGGGUACUGGAUUUCUCAAAUUUAAAACAGCAGCAUCUGCUGAAGCUGCUAUUUCCGCUGCCAGUGUUGUGGAUGGUUUAGGUGUCUUUCUGAAGGGUCGGCAGUUAAAAAUUUUAAAGGCCUUGGACAAAAAAG